Molecule: long non-coding RNA, 4998 nt
Filed under: Sus scrofa (pig)
Lineage: Eukaryota; Metazoa; Chordata; Mammalia; Artiodactyla; Suidae
Description: lncRNA (ENSSSCG00000052694.1)
Source: RNAcentral
UAUAUAUAUAUAUAUUCUUUUUCUCACAUUAUUCUCCAUCACAUUCCAUCACAAAUGAUUAGAUAUAGUUCUCUGUGCUAUUCAGCAGAUUCUCAUUGCUUAUCCACUCCAAAUGCAAUAUUUUGCAUCUAUUAACUCCAGACUCCCAGUCCAUCCCACUCCCUCCGUCUCCCUCUUGGCAACCACAAGUCUUUCUCCAAGUCCGUGAGUUUGUUUCUUUUCUGUAGAUAGGUUCAUUUGUGUCAUAUUUUAGAUUCUAGAUAUAAGUAACAUUGUGUGGCGUUUGUCUUUCUCUUUCUGACUUACUUUGCUUCGUAUGAGAGUCUCUAGCUCCAUCAUGUUGCUGCAAAUGACAUUAUUUUGUUCUUUUUUAUGGCUGAGUAGGAUUCCAUUAUGUAUAUUACCACAUCUUAUUUAUGCUCCUAGUGAAGUACCUGCCUCAUAAUACACAUUUAGUAAAAAUUUGUUGAAUAAGUGAACAUUAAAAAGAAAGUAUGGAGUUCCUUUUGCAGCUCAGUGGGUUAAGAACUUGACAUAGUGUCUGUGAGGAUGUGUGGUUUAAUCCCUGGCAUCACUCAGUGGGUUAAGGAGCUGGCGUUGCUGCAAACUGCAGUGUAGGUUGCAGAUGUAGCUUGGAUCUGGUAUUGCUAUGGCCAUGGUGUAGGCCUCAGCUGCAGCUCUGAUUUGGCCCCUAGCCCAGAAUUUCCAUAUGCUGCAGAUACAGCCAUAAAAAAGAAAAAGAAAAAGAAAUUUGAAGCAGCCAAAAAAAAAAAAAAAAAAAUCACUAAGAUCUGGAGAAAUUAGUUCUUGACUACACAAAGCCUUAAAUCAGCAUCACACUUGGAAAUGUGAUAGACACUCAGAAUCCCAGGCUCCAUCCUAGACCCAUUGAAUCAGUAUCUGCACUAUAAAAAGAUCCUCAGAUGAUUUGUAGUAGGAAUGAUGAAAUUUGAGAAAUAGGUUUCUAGUUCAUUUUCUUCCCCAACAAGUGUGGGUUUUCAUAUGUUCGAAUGGAACACACACACACUUAUAUACAUAUUCACACUUUUUAUCUUUGUAAAGACUAGAAUAACUACUUUUAUAAAUAGGCUUAAUGGUAAGAAAAAAGUAAAAUGGAAAUUUAAGGCAAGGGUAAAUUUGAUAAUGUCUGGGAACUUACUCAUGCUGCAGGCAUGGCCCAAAAAUUGUAUUUCUCUUGGCGUUCCUGCUGUGGCACGAGGAUUAAUGAUCCUGUGUUGUCUCUGUGGUGGCGUAGGUUCAAACCCCGGCCUGGGAACUUCCAUAUACUGUAGUACAGCUGAAAAAGAAAAAAAGCCUAUAUUUCUCAUAUAGUUCUCACAGUUAGCAGAGGCCCUGUGUAAUACUUGUUUCUGAAAAGGAAGGGGAGAUCAUAUUUUAACUGGAAGUGCUUCUCGGUGUGUUUAAGAAUUUUAUAGGAUACCAUCUCUGAUAAUGUUUGUAAACAAGGGCCUUGAGUGUGUUUCUCAUGUGAAUAUUCCUAUUUUGUCUAUAGAUGGAAUUUCAUUACAUCUGGAGAUCAGAGGUGGGACUGUGGAUUUGGAUGGAGGGCAUAAAUUCCUAGAUUUCCUUCGGCCCUUUCUGACUGGGGAGGAGAGAUCCCAGAGUUUAUGUUGGCCUCACUUUACCCAGUGGAUACUGGCAGUGUGCCCAUUGGAGUGAAUCUGGUUUAGUAAAGUAUGAAAAGGUAAAAAAAAGUAGUCAUAGAUCAAUGAGUUGGAAGGAUUGGGAACUAUCAAGACUUUAAAUUACUGUAAGCCGUAAGCCUCAGCUCUGCUUUAAGAUGAACAUAUAAGAGUGAAUGGUGUUUUAUGACACAACUUGUGUGUGAUAGAUGUACGGUGUCAGUUGCAGUUUUAAAGUUGUUGUAACUUAAUUUCCAAAAACAUGGGAAUUCUGAUUUUUUUGUUUUGUUUUGAUGAAUGAGUCUGAAAAAAAAAAAUGCAAUAGCUCAAAGUUAGGUGUUUUGAUCAGCCAUGUAAAGUUCCAAGUUUCUUGCCAGAGUCUUUGAAACUAUUGACAAGACUUUAAAUGGUAAGAUUUAAAUGUGAUUCUAAAACUCACAUAAAAGAUGUUUGAGAUAUAAGCAUUGGAGAAAGCAUGGUAGCAUGUGGAUUUGUCAUUGGAACAGAAAAACAAAAUCAUAGUAAAUUCAGCACAUACUUAUUGAAGAAUAUAUACAUAUAUAUAUAUAUAUAUAUUUCAAGUACUUUGAUAAAGUUGAUGGUAGCAGGUAGUUGAGUAAAAUAGUAAAGAGCUGACAGAGCACAGUCUCUGCCUCCAGAGAGUCUACCUUUUAAGUGGGAAACAGCCAGUGAACUGUAUUUCCGUGUGAUGUGUGCAUUGCAGCAACGGAAGGAUAGAUAUAAAGGCUGCAGCUGAAACAUUAAGGAAGGGCAUUCACUUGUUGCCAGAUUUCAGAUAGAAGAUGCAUUUUUAUUUCAGCAAAUUAACCCCCUGAGUCUCAGUAAAAUGAUGAUAAUAUAUCUAUCUGGAAGACUUGUUCUGAGGAUUAAAUGAAAGUACCCGAACAGUGCUUCAUGCAGUGCCUCAAAUGGCCUGGCUGCUCAGGAAGCCAUAGCUACUACCCCAAGGCUGCACCUAUAGAGAGUCUUUCUUUCUGGUUUUGUGGGCUCUGCUUCCCUUCUUCCUUCCUUUUUAUUUUAUUUUUUAAGUAUUCAUAGCCCUGUAGUUCCUAUUGUGGCUCACUGGUUAAGACCCCAACUAGUAUCCAUGAGGACGCGGUUCAAUCCCUGGCCUUGCUCCAUGGGUUAAGGAUCCAACAUUGCCAUGAGCUGUGGUGUAGGUCACAGACGCAUCUCUGAUUCGAUCCCUAACCUGGGAACCUCCGUAUUCUGCGCGAGCGGCCCUAAAAAGAUCAAGGACAAAAAUGUUUAAAGUUAAAUAAAUAAAUAAGAAAGAAAUAAAUAAAAUAUUCAGAGCCCUCAUGGAUUUGAAGAAGGCCCUUUAAAGUCUUAGAAGUCAAACUUUGCAAAACAUGUUGCCUCUCAUCAUCAUUCAAAAAUCUGCACUGUCCAAUAAGGAACUACUUAGUCACAUGUGGCUAUUUAAAUUAUUUAAAAUUCAAAAUUCUCUUUUGUCAGUCACAAUCACCCACACUUCAAAAUGCUCAGUAGCCACGUGUGGUUGUAGCUACCAAACUGGACAACACAGAUGUAGAAGCCUUCUGAAAAGUUCGAUUUUGUAGCACUGUUCUGGAACAGCGACUGCUACGAGUUCCCUGGCGGCCUAGUGGUUAAGGAUUCAGUGUUAUCCGUGCUGUGACUCUGGUUCGAUCCCUGGCCCUGGAACUUCUACACCCUACAAGUGCAGCCUCAGAAGACAAACAAACGAACAAAAAAACAGCCACUGCUGAUCAUAUAGGACCCAGAAAGUGGACUGUUUAUCUAAUCAGUUUUAUAAUUCAAAAUUCUCUCUCUCCUACUAUAUUAAAAAUUAAAAAAAAUCCAUCACCUUUGAUUAUUUUCCUUUAAAGAGUUAUAAUGCUUUAGCAGUUUUCAAGUUUUUAAAUGACAUUUAGACUUCUUUAAAAUGCUGUUUCUGAUGAAAGAUUACAUUUGAUUAGGUUAAAUACAUUCAGUAGACUACUUUAAUCUCUUUCUUCGUCAGUGUUUUAUGUCUCAUACUUGCCAUUUGUUUUUUUCUAAGCAACUCAGCAUGUGUCUUCCAAAUACAGACAGUAUUCAUUUAGGAUUUUCUUACUGCAAUUGCCAUGUACGUCUGCAUUGUUACUGAUAGUGGCAGACACACUAACAAACAUACUGACAAAUAAUCGUGACUAAAUCAGCAAAAAUAACAAAAAGAUCUAAAAGGUUUUCUAUGUGACUGCUCCUAGCAAAUUUACAGUGAGUAGAAGUGUUAGGUUACACACAGGUUCUGGACUGGUUUCUCAGGAACCUACCUGUAAUUCAUCCCAGAUCUCCCCCUGUGUGCCUGUCCGAUCUUCCCAGAGCAACCUUUUAAAAAAAAAAUUCUGGAGUUCCCGUCCUGGCGCAGUGGUUAAUGAAUCCGACUGGGAACCAUGAGGUCGUGGCUUCGAUCCCUGGCCUUGCUCAGUGGGUUGAGGAUCCGGUGCUGCCCUGAGCUGUGGUGUAGGUUGCAGACGCAGCUCAGAUCCCAAGUUGCUGUGGCUCUGGUGUAGGCCGGCGGCUGCAGCUCCGAUUCGACCCCUAGCCAGGGAACCUCCAUAUGCCGCAGGAGCAGCCCUAGAAAAGGCAAAAAGACAAAAUAAAUAAGUAAAUAAAUAAAUAAUUUUUAAAAAUUCUAUAGCCCAAAAGGUGAUGUUCCUUAUUGCCUGAUUUGUUGCAAUAAAAACAAAUUGGAUUUACAGAUAUGUAAGUAAACACUGAGUUUAUUUCGAAAUAUGGACUAUUGUUGCCUUGUUCAGUUUACUGUGUACUUCAUAACACAAAGCCAUAUUCUCUACAAUACAGAGCGAUAUCUACUCUAGUUAGUAAAUGUAACGUAGGAAUUAUUCCGAAAGGUUGGAAAUCAGAUAAGAGCUGAAGAGAAAGCAAAUAACCCCGUAAUGUUUUGGGAAACAACUUGGAUUUAGAGUUUGAGAGCACCAUGAAGAUCAUGGGCUGUAUCUUUAAACAACAAAAUUUAGAGCGAUUAUGACUUUUACUCAUGGUAACAGAUGGAAGUGGCAGUUUUAAAAAAAUUGUGUGUGUGUGUUUUGACUCUUGAACAGCUAGGAGGUUCCAUACAGUCAAAAAUCUACCUAUAACAGAGUUCCCCUUGUAGCACAGUGGAAUUGAAUCCGGCUAGGAACCAUGAGGUUGUGGGUUCAAGCCCUAGCCUUGCUCAGUGGGUUAAGGAUCUGGCGUUUCCAUGAGCUGUGGUGUAGGUCACAGACGCGGCUCGGAUCUGGCAUUGCUAUGGCUGUGGUGUAGGCCAGCAGCUGUAGCUCUGAUUGGACCCCUAGCCUGGGAACCUCCAUAUGCCAUGGGUGCAGCC